Molecule: ribosomal RNA, 307 nt
Filed under: uncultured eukaryote
Lineage: Eukaryota
Description: partial 18S ribosomal RNA
Rfam family: Eukaryotic small subunit ribosomal RNA
Source: RNAcentral
CCCUUAGAUGUUCUGGGCUGCACGCGCGCUACACUGACGAAGGCAACGAGCUUUCCUUUACCGAAAGGUACGGGUAAUCUUUUGAAACUUCGUCGUGCUGGGGAUAGAUCCUUGCAAUUUUUGAUCUUAAACGAGGAAUGCCUAGUAAGCGCAAGUCAUCAACUUGCGUUGAUUACGUCCCUGCCCUUUGUACACACCGCCCGUCGCUACUACCGAUUGAAUGGUUUAGUGAGGCCUUCGGAUCCGCGACUCGUUUGUGGAGAAGUUGGACAAACUCAGUCAUUUAGAGGAAGUAAAAGUCGUAACA